This 1479-nucleotide ribosomal RNA is filed under the name Klebsiella pneumoniae. RNAcentral's name for it is "partial 23S ribosomal RNA". It matches the Rfam family "Bacterial large subunit ribosomal RNA", at positions 1 to 1527 of the family's 2925-position model. The record is from RNAcentral. RNAcentral also lists the same sequence under 1 other name. Lineage: Bacteria; Pseudomonadati; Pseudomonadota; Gammaproteobacteria; Enterobacterales; Enterobacteriaceae.
GGUUAAGCGACUAAGCGUACACGGUGGAUGCCCUGGCAGUCAGAGGCGAUGAAGGACGUGCUAAUCUGCGAAAAGCGUCGGUAAGGUGAUAUGAACCGUUAUAGCCGGCGAUGUCCGAAUGGGGAAACCCAGUGCAAUUCGUUGCACUAUCGUUAACUGAAUACAUAGGUUAACGAGGCGAACCGGGGGAACUGAAACAUCUAAGUACCCCGAGGAAAAGAAAUCAACCGAGAUUCCCCCAGUAGCGGCGAGCGAACGGGGAGCAGCCCAGAGUCUGAAUCAGCUUGUGUGUUAGUGGAACGGUCUGGAAAGUCCGACGGUACAGGGUGAUAGUCCCGUACACCAAAAUGCACAGGCUGUGAACUCGAAGAGUAGGGCGGGACACGUGGUAUCCUGUCUGAAUAUGGGGGGACCAUCCUCCAAGGCUAAAUACUCCUGACUGACCGAUAGUGAACCAGUACCGUGAGGGAAAGGCGAAAAGAACCCCGGCGAGGGGAGUGAAAAAGAACCUGAAACCGUGUACGUACAAGCAGUGGGAGCACCUUCGGGUGUGACUGCGUACCUUUUGUAUAAUGGGUCAGCGACUUAUAUUCUGUAGCAAGGUUAACCGUAUAGGGGAGCCGCAGGGAAACCGAGUCUUAACUGGGCGUUAAGUUGCAGGGUAUAGACCCGAAACCCGGUGAUCUAGCCAUGGGCAGGUUGAAGGUUGGGUAACACUAACUGGAGGACCGAACCGACUAAUGUUGAAAAAUUAGCGGAUGACUUGUGGCUGGGGGUGAAAGGCCAAUCAAACCGGGAGAUAGCUGGUUCUCCCCGAAAGCUAUUUAGGUAGCGCCUCGUGAAUUCAUCUUCGGGGGUAGAGCACUGUUUCGGCUAGGGGGUCAUCCCGACUUACCAACCCGAUGCAAACUACGAAUACCGAAGAAUGUUAUCACGGGAGACACACGGCGGGUGCUAACGUCCGUCGUGAAGAGGGAAACAACCCAGACCGCCAGCUAAGGUCCCAAAGUCAUGGUUAAGUGGGAAACGAUGUGGGAAGGCACAGACAGCCAGGAUGUUGGCUUAGAAGCAGCCAUCAUUUAAAGAAAGCGUAAUAGCUCACUGGUCGAGUCGGCCUGCGCGGAAGAUGUAACGGGGCUAAACCAUGCACCGAAGCUGCGGCAGCGACACUAUGUGUUGUUGGGUAGGGGAGCGUUCUGUAAGCCUGCGAAGGUGACCUGUGAGGGUUGCUGGAGGUAUCAGAAGUGCGAAUGCUGACAUAAGUAACGAUAAAGCGGGUGAAAAGCCCGCUCGCCGGAAGACCAAGGGUUCCUGUCCAACGUUAAUCGGGGCAGGGUGAGUCGACCCCUAAGGCGAGGCCGAAAGGCGUAGUCGAUGGGAAACAGGUUAAUAUUCCUGUACUUGGUGUUACUGCGAAGGGGGGACGGAGAAGGCUAUGUUAGCCGGGCGACGGUUGUCCCGGUUUAAGCAUGUAGGCUG